CUGCUGUCCCAUCCACGACUCCUGUUGCACUAUUUUAACGCGGUACUUUUCCGAUCUUCCACGAUCACCGACAUACGCGUCUAAUUGUUCUUUUGUCGAAUAAUCGUUGGCGAGAGACUGCGCGACCGCGGAAUUAUAUAGCGCUGAUGGUGCGACCGGAUCGCACAAGGUAGGAGGUUUCACAAUGAAAAUUCGUAGCUCGCGAUUAAACUACUAGGAAAGAGACUAGCCGGCUAGUCGUUUAUCGAUCUAUUCGACGAAUACUUGUUCACGGACGAACGUCACGUCAUCCGAUAGGCAAGUAUCUCGAAGCUGUCGGGAUAAAAAGAUCUCAGGCAAGUCUCCUCCAAGGCUUCAUUCGCGCCUGUUUCACUGUACGGCUGUCCUUUGUCAUCGAACCAUCUGUCGUCGGUAACAACGCGACAAUUGGCCUUUUCAAAUGCCGUGUUCUUAUGUUACGGCUUGAUAACGCGCGAUUCUCGCUUCUGCCAACUCGUCGCAGCAUCUCUCACCACGUCGCCACGCAUUCUUAUCGUUCUUCGGUUCGAAAUAGUUUGAAAUCACUCAACCAGACUCCUGCCGGCCAUUGUGUCACGCGUUUUUUCCUUCAGCCGCCAUUGUUGCCUCUUUGCGCGCCGGUAAAACCUCGCUAUCUCUAUCUUUCCAUGGAAAUACGCAUCUGGAAAUAUUCUAUGUAUUAGGUUGUCCGAAAUGUUUCUUUCCAUUUAUUAGGAAAUAAUAGACGCACAAUGUUUUUUGUUGUAUAUUAGUUUAUUGAAUUAUGUACAAAUAUAAUAAUAGAAAUAGAACGAAAUGGAUCAUACCUAAUUCAAGAAAAUAAUAUAAAACAGAAAUUCUUGUCCAUCUAUUAUCACCGUAUGAAACGAAAGAAACCUUUCAAAUAACCUAAUACAACACGCUUUACCGGCUAACAGAGAUAUUCGCGUAUCACGCGCGUCGCUGCUUCUCCGAUGCUCAAGUUUACGAACGUAGCAGUGAAAGUAUCUCGCGAGCUGACUAGAGAUACGAACCCGCUGCUGACAUAAUUUAACCUUGUUUACAUAGCGUGACUCGUUGCGAAUUGUCAAAUCCUUAUUUCACGCCACCAAACCUGUUUCCAGGCUAUUCGUGUAUACAUACGACAGGUAUAAAACAUAACCUCUCUUCCGUUCGCAGUUACAAGAGAGGUGUAAUUUGCUUGGAAAGCCUCGUACGCAAACGAGUCUCGAAUCGAUAAUAAAUUACGAGGAUGAUGUGGGAAACGUUAAAGGAAGUUCUCGUGACAACGAUUAAACGGUUAACGCGUGGAUAUAGCGUAAUGCGGAUCGACGUGCAACUUAAUAUCUAACGCGAUAUCUCGUUUAAUUUCCUAAUGGCGAGAAUACGUAGCGCCGAGUUGCAGAGGGAAAGAAAAAGAAGAAAAUUAGAAGGAACGACGCGUUACGAAGCAAGUUAAAUGUUAUACAGUGGAUCGGGAGAAAUUAGAUUUCCAUAUAAACGAAGGAACACUGCGAUUACCAUUAGAUAUUAGGAGGAAAUUAAAGCGAGCGUACUACAAUACAAUAUUCGUAAAUAAUUCAGCACGCGGAUAAAUAUGACCCAGUAAAGGACGAUGAAUAAGUAAAUUCGUAUUACGUAGCGACAUGACAGUCGGAAGUAUGUUUCGUGCGCACCGUCAACUUUCAUAGUUCGACUUGUCUGAAAUAUUCAAAUGUCGUGGAACGAAUAGUAUAGACACGAGUAUCAAAAUCGAAGCAAAAGCCGCUUCUCUCUUAUGGCGAAUGUACUUGAAAUUUUGUCCGCUAGAAUCGCUUCAUGUCUCCUCCCUGUGUCCGGCAAUCGACUUUCGUCUUAUAGUGAACUGUUUAUCAUCGCUCGUUCUCUUCGCACGCGAUACCGCCUUCUAAUCUGAAGAUCGAGCCGCUGCGAAUACGAAAUGGCGCUGUUCUCGUUACGGAAGACGCGACGCGCAGUCUUGCCAUCGAAGGAGCAAAUAAUUUCGGUGAACGUUUCUCAUUCAUUCUGAGUCAUUCGUCAUUCGCGUGGUUACGAGUUGGCGCUACGAGAUUCAACUCGAACGCGCCCACGAAUCUCUGGUGCGCUAUCGAACCGGCAGUUUGCUAACCAAACAAGGCAAGAUAAAUACCACGAUGCUGCAGUAUUACGAGGAUUAAGCAAGUAAUGGUAGUCACCUCUCACACGUUUCAGCGGAAGAAAGAGCGCAAAUAUUCCGCGUCUCGGAGAAGCGUGAGAUUUUAAGAUGACCGCUAAGCGUUUCGGUACAAAGGAUGCGUCCGUGAAUUUAGAGCUUAUGGUGGUAACGGCUAUGGAAAAUUUUCGCGUGACUCACGAUAAAUCGUCGGCCAACAACGGAGAAACCUGUUUCUCUCCCUCUGUAGCGUAAAAGAAGGACAGGGAACAGGAGUCAGAAAGAAGGAGAAGCAAGAGAGAGAGAGAGAGAGAGAGAGAGAAAGAGAAAGAGAGAAUAAAAAAGGUCGCCCGGAGCAGUGCAGCACGUGUACGGAGAAGAAAGGACAUACAGACACACGCGUUUGCAUGAUGCGAGAUAUCGAAGAUUUAUAAAAUCAGGUCGAAAACCUCGAAUCUGCCUGCUUCUUGCAUAACCUUGUGCCAUAAAAGACACGCUAGAGGAGAAACCAACGUGCUCCUUUCUCUCUGGCCGACUCGAAUAGUUUUCUUUCCACGAGACUUAUCGAUAUCCUGGCGCGUCACGGCUCACCAGGCAUUGUACAAAAUCGACCUAACCUUUUUCUAAAAGAUAAGCGAGGCAGCUGCUUGUGCUUUAAGGGAAUCCCAACUCGGACCACCAUCUAUGCCAUUACGUUCGACCAACGAACGCUGCAGGAUCCGGCGUUUCGUCGUAGUUUGUAGUCGUGAAAUUUACCAAGCAUCGUGCAUCGAGACACUGCCCUUUUGACGAAACAGAGAACUAAUUCUGAACAUACCGUUCGCGUAAAUAGACCGCUGCUGCUUCAGCAUUUAUGGGAAAUAUAUUAACACUUAGCCAAUGGAAUAGGGAGAUCUCCUUUUUUGACUUUAGUAACGCGUUUUCUUUUUUUUUUGUUGUUGUUAUUAUCAGUUAUCGUUUACCUGAAAUUGUUCACUUUUUCUGUUUUUAUAAAGUACAGUAUAUAAUAAAAUACAGCAAUUCAGUGGUGUUAAAAUUAAUGAAAAGGUUACACUAUCGGUUAUGACUAGAUAAAAUUAUAAUCGAACGAUAGCACACCGUAAAAAAAUAUUAAAAUGCAUUAUGAAUUUUUAA
Bombus huntii is the source of this 3283-nucleotide long non-coding RNA. RefSeq lists it as uncharacterized. The record is from RefSeq and is a predicted model, not a curated record. The transcript is spliced from 2 exons. NCBI's taxonomy places the organism in Eukaryota, Metazoa, Arthropoda, Insecta, Hymenoptera, Apidae.